GGGUUGUGAGGUUAAGCGACUAAGCGUACACGGUGGAUGCCCUGGCAGUCAGAGGCGAUGAAGGACGUGCUAAUCUGCGAUAAGCGUCGGUAAGGUGAUAUGAACCGUUAUAACCGGCGAUUUCCGAAUGGGGAAACCCAGUGUGAUUCGUCACACUAUCAUUAACUGAAUCCAUAGGUUAAUGAGGCGAACCGGGGGAACUGAAACAUCUAAGUACCCCGAGGAAAAGAAAUCAACCGAGAUUCCCCCAGUAGCGGCGAGCGAACGGGGAGCAGCCCAGAGCCUGAAUCAGUGUGUGUGUUAGUGGAAGCGUCUGGAAAGGCGCGCGAUACAGGGUGACAGCCCCGUACACAAAAAUGCACAUACUGUGAGCUCGAUGAGUAGGGCGGGACACGUGGUAUCCUGUCUGAAUAUGGGGGG
Molecule: ribosomal RNA, 420 nt
Filed under: Escherichia coli
Lineage: Bacteria; Pseudomonadati; Pseudomonadota; Gammaproteobacteria; Enterobacterales; Enterobacteriaceae
Description: partial 23S ribosomal RNA
Rfam family: Bacterial large subunit ribosomal RNA
Source: RNAcentral